GCCGGGCACAGUGGCUCAUGCCUGUAAUCCCACCACCUUGGGAGGCUGAGGCAGGAGAUUCACUUGAGCCCAGGAGUUCAAGACUAACCUUGGCAACAUAAUGAGACCCUGUCUCUACAAAAAAUUCAAAAAUGAGCUGGGCAUGGUGAUGUGUGCCUGUAGUCCCAGCUACUCAAGAGGCUGAGGUGGUCAGAAGAUCACUUGAGCCGGGAGGUUGAGGCUGCAGUGAGCUGUGAUCACGCCACUGCACUCUAGCCUGGGCAACAAAGAGAGACCUUGUCUCA
Unclassified non-coding RNA from Gorilla gorilla gorilla (western lowland gorilla), 284 nucleotides. It matches the Rfam family "Metazoan signal recognition particle RNA". From Rfam's summary of the family: The signal recognition particle (SRP) is a universally conserved ribonucleoprotein. It is involved in the co-translational targeting of proteins to membranes. The eukaryotic SRP consists of a 300-nucleotide 7S RNA and six proteins: SRPs 72, 68, 54, 19, 14, and 9. NCBI's taxonomy places the organism in Eukaryota, Metazoa, Chordata, Mammalia, Primates, Hominidae. The record is from Ensembl.